Molecule: RNA transcript, 1983 nt
Organism: Cucurbita moschata (crookneck pumpkin)
Lineage: Eukaryota; Viridiplantae; Streptophyta; Magnoliopsida; Cucurbitales; Cucurbitaceae
Gene name: GTP-binding protein ERG
Exons: 9
Source: RefSeq, a predicted model, not a curated record
AAACCACCGCUAGUUGUGGGACACCAUCACAGAACCUCUAAACCCCAAAAACCCCAAUUGCUGCGAGCAGAGCCAGCCCUUCUUCUUUGGUUGUUCAUAUCAUUGCGCCGCUCUCUCUCUCUCUCUUUCAUCAAUCUUCUUUCCUUCAUGCUUUGUAUGAGAAUUUGAGAUGAACGCUUUAAGGGCUCUGAGAAUAGCCACGACGAUUUCUUCUCGAUCCCACCAGACUUUCCUCAUAAAUCCAUUGUUUUCCCAUCGAUGUUACUCUGCCCAACCUGAGCAAGACGAUCCGAAUCACAACCCUACUUUCUCGGACACUGAAAAUGCUCCGGAUUCUGUAUUUGAUAGUUCGCAGUUCACUAUUCCAAACAUGGAUUCGUGUACUAAAACUGAGUCUCACUCCCCUGCCGAAUCCACUUGGGAUAAAAAAUACAGGGCAAGAGCUGACAAACUGAUAUUUGGGGAAGAAUCCGAGGGAGUAAAAUACAAGAUAAUGGAGGAGGAGGAGGAAAGGAGACGGAGAGUGCUUGCCAAGGCUCUGCUUGAGGCGGCGUUGGAAACUGCUGACGAUCAGGAAGAAGAUGACGAGAGAACGGUGAAGGAGGAGGACCAGAAGUCCCUGGCUGUUGGGAUAAUUGGAGCACCAAACGCUGGCAAGUCCGCGUUGACAAACUUUAUGGUGGGAACUAAAGUUGCUGCAGUUUCACGGAAGACAAAUACCACUACUCACGAAGUCCUAGGAAUAAUGACCAAAGGAAAUACCCAAAUUUGUUUCUUCGACACACCAGGGCUUAUGUUAAAGAGUAAGGGACUUCCUUAUAAAGACAUGAAAGUGCGUGUGCAAAGUGCUUGGAGUUCAGUUCAACUUUAUGAUGUGUUGAUAGUUAUUUUUGACGUCCACAGACAUCUUACAAGGCCUGAUUCAAGGGUGGUAGGAUUGAUCAAACGAAUGGGAGCUUCAUCACAACCAAAGCAGAAGCGAAUAUUAUGUAUGAACAAAGUUGAUUUAGUCGAAAACAAGAAAGACUUGUUAACAGUUGCAGAACAAUUUAAAGAUCUUCCCGGAUAUGAAAGGUACUUCAUGAUCUCGGGGCUAAAGGGAGCUGGAGUAAAAGAUCUUUCAAAAUACUUAAUAGAACAGGCAGUCAAAAGACCUUGGGAUGAAGAUCCAUACACUAUGAAUGAAGAAAUGAUGAAGAACAUAUCACUUGAAGUUGUUCGGGAGCGGUUGUUAGACCAUGUGCAUCAGGAAAUUCCUUAUGGAAUCGAACAUCGCCUGGUUGAUUGGAAAGAAUUUCGAGACGGUUCUCUUAGGAUUGAGCAACACUUGAUCACUAAUAAACCAAGUCAGCGCAAAAUUCUUGUGGGGAAAAAUGGCUGUAAAAUUGGGAGAAUAGGUAUUGAAGCAAAUGAAGAGCUAAGGUCUAUCUUCAAGAAACAAGUGCAUCUCAUCCUCCAAGUUAGACUUAAAUGAUGCAUCUGCCUAUCUAUAGUUCCCCUUUGCACAUAUAGAAAAUUGUUUGUUGGUUAUCUUAGAAUUGCAGAUAUCUUCCCCGCUAUAAUUUAUAGUGGACGUGAAGAUGAAGGCUUCAGAGCUUAGAAGCAGUUUAUUCUUUUUAAAAGGGUGGAAAUGCAUUUUGAUGAAGAGAAGAAUUUGACAUUGUGCAUGAAGCCCAUGAGAAGUGAGAGCGAGACUUAAUAACUUUUCUGGAAGUUUCUAAAUGACGAAAGGCAUCUUCGCAUUGGUACCCAACAACAAACUAGGAUGAAAUCUCGUCUAUUUCUUUGGAAGAUAUUCUCAGAACUUUUGCAGCUCAAGGAGGGUUAUUAUUUGGUAGCAAGGAUUCAAAAUCCCAAGGAUUCAAAAUCCCAAGAAUAUAAGCCAUGGCCAUACAUGUCUACGCAAACAUGGAAAUUCGAAUCAUGAAAAUUGUCGGGAAAUAGGACAAAGGCUUCGUCAUAACACUGAUUUAACGGUCAUGA